RNAcentral lists this ribosomal RNA (564 nucleotides) under Streptomyces sp. Its description in RNAcentral is "bacterial SSU rRNA". It matches the Rfam family "Bacterial small subunit ribosomal RNA", at positions 549 to 1128 of the family's 1533-position model. The record is from RNAcentral. Lineage: Bacteria; Bacillati; Actinomycetota; Actinomycetes; Kitasatosporales; Streptomycetaceae.
AAUUAUUGGGCGAGAGCUCGUAAGCGGUUUGUCGCGUCCAUUGUUAAAGCCCCGGGCUUAAACCUGGGUCUGCAGUCCAUACGGGCAGGCAGUUCGGCAGGGGAGACUUGGAAUUCCUGGUGUAGCGGUGAAAUGCGCAGAUAUUCAGGAGGGAACACCGGUGGCGAAGGCGGGUCUGUGGGCCGAUACCGCGGAGCGAAAGCGUGGGGAGCGAACAGGAUUAGAUACCCUGGUAGUCCACGCCGUAAACGGUGGGCACUAGGUGUGGGCGACAUUCCACGUUUUCCGUGCCGCAGCCGCAUUAAGUGCCCCGCGUGGGGAGUACGGCCGCAAGGCAACUCAAAGGAAUUGACGGGGGCCCGCACAAGCGGCGGAGCAUGUGGCUUAAUUCGACGCAACGCGAAGAACCUUACCCAAGGCUUGACAUAUGCCGGAAACACCCCGGAGACGGGUGCCCUCUUUGAGUCGGUGUACAGGUGGUGCAUGGCUGUCGUCAGCUCGUGUCGUGAGAUGUUGGGUGUCCCGCAACGAGCGCAACCCUUGUCCUGUGUUGGCAGCACGCCC